RNAcentral lists this ribosomal RNA (503 nucleotides) under uncultured bacterium. RNAcentral's name for it is "bacterial SSU rRNA". It matches the Rfam family "Bacterial small subunit ribosomal RNA", at positions 28 to 521 of the family's 1533-position model. The record is from RNAcentral.
GAUGAACGCUAGCGGCAGGCUUAACACAUGCAAGUCGAGGGGCAGCAUGAACCGACCUUCGGGAAGGUUUGAUGGCGACCGGCGCAAGGGUGCGUAACGCGUGAGCAACUUGCCCGUUUCAGGGGGAUAACCGGUGGAAACGCCGACUAAUACCCCAUGGUAUUGAGUUUAGGCAUCUUUACUCAAUUAAAGAAUUUCGGAAACGGAUAGGCUCGCGUGACAUUAGCUUGAUGGCGGGGUAACGGCCCACCAUGGCUACGAUGUCUAGGGGUUCUGAGAGGAAGGUCCCCCACACUGGAACUGAGACACGGUCCAGACUCCUACGGGAGGCAGCAGUGAGGAAUAUUGGUCAAUGGUCUGACGACUGAACCAGCCAUGCCGCGUGAAGGUCACGGCCCUAUGGGUCUUAAACUUCUUUGUAAGGGAGCAAUAAGUCCCACGUGUGGGAUGAUGAGAGUACCUUACGAAUAAGCAUCGGCUAACUCCGUGCCAGCAGCCGCGGU